UGUUAAAAAUUUCAUCAAUUUCUACUGUUAAAAAUUAACGUGGUUGACGAAAAAAUAUAAUAACUACACAUGACGUGCCAUGUGUAUUUCAUAUUUAUGUAAACAGACCAAAUUUUAAUAGUAAAAAUAGAUGAAAUUUUUAACG
Gossypium arboreum is the source of this 145-nucleotide non-coding RNA. The record is from Rfam. Lineage: Eukaryota; Viridiplantae; Streptophyta; Magnoliopsida; Malvales; Malvaceae.